RNAcentral lists this transfer RNA (69 nucleotides) under Tabanus haysi. RNAcentral's name for it is "tRNA-Trp". It matches the Rfam family "tRNA". Rfam says of the family: Transfer RNA (tRNA) molecules are approximately 80 nucleotides in length. Their secondary structure includes four short double-helical elements and three loops (D, anti-codon, and T loops). Further hydrogen bonds mediate the characteristic L-shaped molecular structure. tRNAs have two regions of fundamental functional importance: the anti-codon, which is responsible for specific mRNA codon recognition, and the 3' end, to which the tRNAs corresponding amino acid is attached (by aminoacyl-tRNA synthetases). tRNAs cope with the degeneracy of the genetic code in two manners: having more than one tRNA (with a specific anti-codon) for a particular amino acid; and 'wobble' base-pairing, i.e. permitting non-standard base-pairing at the 3rd anti-codon position. The record is from RNAcentral. Lineage: Eukaryota; Metazoa; Arthropoda; Insecta; Diptera; Tabanidae. RNAcentral also lists the same sequence under 1 other name.
AAGGCUUUAAGUUAAUUAAACUAAUAGCCUUCAAAGCUAUAUAUAUAAGUAUAAACCUUUUAAGCCUUA